AACGAACGCUGGCGGCAUGCCUAACACAUGCAAGUCGAACGAGACCUUCGGGUCUAGCGGCGCACGGGCGCGUAACGCGUGGGAACCUGCCCUUAGGUUCGGAAUAACUCCCCGAAAGGGGUGCUAAUACCGGAUAAUGUCUUCGGACCAAAGAUUUAUCGCCUUUGGAUGGGCCCGCGUUGGAUUAGCUAGUUGGUAGGGUAAAAGCCUACCAAGGCGACGAUCCAUAGCUGGUCUGAGAGGAUGAUCAGCCACACUGGGACUGAGACACGGCCCAGACUCCUACGGGAGGCAGCAGUGGGGAAUAUUGGACAAUGGGCGAAAGCCUGAUCCAGCAAUGCCGCGUGAGUGAUGAAGGCCUUAGGGUUGUAAAGCUCUUUUACCCGGGAUGAUAAUGACAGUACCGGGAGAAUAAGCUCCGGCUAACUCCGUG
This 433-nucleotide ribosomal RNA is filed under the name uncultured bacterium. RNAcentral's name for it is "partial 16S ribosomal RNA". It matches the Rfam family "Bacterial small subunit ribosomal RNA", at positions 29 to 507 of the family's 1533-position model. The record is from RNAcentral.